AGCGCGGGAGCAAUCCUGGCGGCGAGUGGCGAACGGGUGAGUAAUAUAUCGGAACGUACCUUUCAGUGGGGGAUAACGUAGCGAAAGUUACGCUAAUACCGCAUAUUCUGUGCGCAGGAAAGCAGGGGAUCGCAAGACCUUGCGCUGAUUGAGCGGCCGAUAUCAGAUUAGCUAGUUGGUGAGGUAAAGGCUCACCAAGGCGACGAUCUGUAGCGGGUCUGAGAGGAUGAUCCGCCACACUGGAACUGAGACACGGUCCAGACUCCUACGGGAGGCAGCAGUGGGGAAUUUUGGACAAUGGGGGCAACCCUGAUCCAGCCAUGCCGCGUGAGUGAAGAAGGCCUUCGGGUUGUAAAGCUCUUUCGGCCGGGAAGAAAUCGCACAGGUUAAUACCCUGUGUGGAUGACGGUACCGGAAUAAGAAGCACCGGCUAACUACGUGCCAGCAGCCGCGGUAAUACGUAGGGUGCGAGCGUUAAUCGGAAUUACUGGGCGUAAAGCGUGCGCAGGCGGUUUUGUAAGACAGGCGUGAAAUCCCCGGGCUCAACCUGGGAACUGCGUUUGUGACUGCAAGGCUAGAGUAUGGCAGAGGGGGGUGGAAUUCCACGUGUAGCAGUGAAAUGCGUAGAGAUGUGGAGGAACACCGAUGGCGAAGGCAGCCCCCUGGGCCAAUACUGACGCUCAUGCACGAAAGCGUGGGUAGCAAACAGGAUUAGAUACCCUGGUAGUCCACGCCCUAAACGAUGUCAACUAGGUGUUGGGUGGGUAAAACCAUUUAGUACCGGAGCUAACGC
RNAcentral lists this ribosomal RNA (793 nucleotides) under uncultured bacterium. Its description in RNAcentral is "bacterial SSU rRNA". It matches the Rfam family "Bacterial small subunit ribosomal RNA", at positions 71 to 858 of the family's 1533-position model. The record is from RNAcentral.